AUGGUGUCCGCACAGGAGUUUUCUUUCUUUUUUUCUUUCUUUCCCAAGGUGAGGCUCGCCCCUUGCACUCCGGGCGUGCUGACCCCUGCGAUUUCCCCAAAUGCGGGAAACUCGACUGCAUAAUUUGUGGUAGUGGGGGACUGCGUUCGUUCGUUCGUUCG
Molecule: small nuclear RNA, 161 nt
Organism: Alligator mississippiensis (American alligator)
Lineage: Eukaryota; Metazoa; Chordata; Crocodylia; Alligatoridae
Product: U1 spliceosomal RNA
Exons: 1
Source: RefSeq, a predicted model, not a curated record